GGAAGGAAGACGGCUCCUGUGUGGACUCAGAAGACGGAACUUGAUUACCUGGUAGUCCAGGGGCCCAAGGUGGACCUGGAGUUCAAGGUGAGCCUGGUCCCAGAAGUCAUGCCGGCAUGUCCGUUGACCCUUGACCUUUGGUUUUGUCGGGACUCCUGAUGACGUUUUGAGACAUCUACAAGUACAGCACCAGAAUUGUGCUCCUGAAGCAAGUCCGUUUUUCUUCCUUUUUUUCCCCGUGGGCAGUAGACAAUGUGUAAUAACAAUGUAAUAAUAGUGUAAUAACAAUGGUGUAGGUUCAGGCUGUGGGCAGUAGACAAUGUGUAAUAACAAACAGCGCCAGGGGUUUGUAAACUCAAUAAAGCAACUACACUAGAAUGCAAAAUGUAUAUAUUGUAAUAUCCCAGGAAUGUAGACUUAUACAACUUCUUUGUUUGUCAUGUCUUUAUUGUAAAAUAUGCGAUUCAACCACACAACAACCCCAAUGUCUCCCUUUUUUUCCCAGCAAAACACUUUUUUUUUUUUUUCUUAAAUAAACCUUCAUUUAUAAUAUCCAACAUUUACAUACAAGCAAAUAAAUAAUAAUCAAAAUAAGUACAGAAACACUACAAA
Molecule: long non-coding RNA, 612 nt
Organism: Entelurus aequoreus (snake pipefish)
Lineage: Eukaryota; Metazoa; Chordata; Actinopteri; Syngnathiformes; Syngnathidae
Exons: 4
Source: RefSeq, a predicted model, not a curated record